Molecule: non-coding RNA, 23 nt
Filed under: Cricetulus griseus (Chinese hamster)
Lineage: Eukaryota; Metazoa; Chordata; Mammalia; Rodentia; Cricetidae
Source: RNAcentral
UCCUGAAUAAAAAGCAAGUAUGU